This 893-nucleotide ribosomal RNA is filed under the name uncultured archaeon. RNAcentral's name for it is "bacterial SSU rRNA". It matches the Rfam family "Archaeal small subunit ribosomal RNA", at positions 21 to 903 of the family's 1478-position model. The record is from RNAcentral.
AGCCACUGCUAUGGGGGUCCGACUAAGCCAUGCGAGUCAAGGGGGCGUCCCUUCUGGGGCGCCACCGGCGGACGGCUCAGUAACACGUCGGUAACCUACCCUCGGGAGGGGGAUAACCCCGGGAAACUGGGGCUAAUCCCCCAUAGGCCUGGGGUACUGGAAGGUCCCCAGGCCGAAAGGGGCCUUGUGCCCGCCCGAGGAUGGGCCGGCGGCCGAUUAGGUAGUUGGUGGGGUAACGGCCCACCAAGCCGAAGAUCGGUACGGGCCGUGAGAGCGGGAGCCCGGAGAUGGACACUGAGACACGGGUCCAGGCCCUACGGGGCGCAGCAGGCGCGAAACCUCCGCAAUGCGGGAAACCGCGACGGGGGGACCCCCAGUGCCGUGCCUCUGGCACGGCUUUUCCGGAGUGUAAAAAGCUCCGGGAAUAAGGGCUGGGCAAGGCCGGUGGCAGCCGCCGCGGUAAUACCGGCGGCCCGAGUGGUGGCCACUAUUAUUGGGCCUAAAGCGGCCGUAGCCGGGCCCGUAAGUCCCUGGCGAAAUCCCACGGCUCAACCGUGGGGCUCGCUGGGGAUACUGCGGGCCUUGGGACCGGGAGAGGCCGGGGGUACCCCCGGGGUAGGGGUGAAAUCCUAUAAUCCCGGGGGGACCGCCAGUGGCGAAGGCGCCCGGCUGGAACGGGUCCGACGGUGAGGGCCGAAGGCCAGGGGAGCGAACCGGAUUAGAUACCCGGGUAGUCCUGGCUGUAAAGGAUGCGGGCUAGGUGUCGGGCGAGCUUCGAGCUCGCCCGGUGCCGUAGGGAAGCCGUUAAGCCCGCCGCCUGGGGAGUACGGCCGCAAGGCUGAGACUUAAAGGAAUUGGCGGGGGAGCACUACAAGGGGUGGAGCCUGCGGUUU